GGGUUGUGAGGUUAAGCGACUAAGCGUACACGGUGGAUGCCCUGGCAGUCAGAGGCGAUGAAGGACGUGCUAAUCUGCGAUAAGCGUCGGUAAGGUGAUAUGAACCGUUAUAACCGGCGAUUUCCGAAUGGGGAAACCCAGUGUGAUUCGUCACACUAUCAUUAACUGAAUCCAUAGGUUAAUGAGGCGAACCGGGGGAACUGAAACAUCUAAGUACCCCGAGGAAAAGAAAUCAACCGAGAUUCCCCCAGUAGCGGCGAGCGAACGGGGAGCAGCCCAGAGCCUGAAUCAGUGUGUGUGUUAGUGGAAGCGUCUGGAAAGGCGUGCGAUACAGGGUGACAGCCCCGUACACAAAAAUGCACAUACUGUGAGCUCGAUGAGUAGGGCGGGACACGUGGUAUCCUGUCUGAAUAUGGGGGGACCAUCCUCCAAGGCUAAAUACUCCUGACUGACCGAUAGUGAACCAGUACCGUGAGGGAAAGGCGAAAAGAACCCCGGCGAGGGGAGUGAAAAAGAACCUGAAACCGUGUACGUACAAGCAGUGGGAGCACGCUUAGGCGUGUGACUGCGUACCUUUUGUAUAAUGGGUCAGCGACUUAUAUUCUGUAGCAAGGUUAACCGAAUAGGGGAGCCGAAGGGAAACCGAGUCUUAACUGGGCGUUAAGUUGCAGGGUAUAGACCCGAAACCCGGUGAUCUAGCCAUGGGCAGGUUGAAGGUUGGGUAACACUAACUGGAGGACCGAACCGACUAAUGUUGAAAAAUUAGCGGAUGACUUGUGGCUGGGGGUGAAAGGCCAAUCAAACCGGGAGAUAGCUGGUUCUCCCCGAAAGCUAUUUAGGUAGCGCCUCGUGAAUUCAUCUCCGGGGGUAGAGCACUGUUUCGGCAAGGGGGUCAUCCCGACUUACCAACCCGAUGCAAACUGCGAAUACCGGAGAAUGUUAUCACGGGAGACACACGGCGGGUGCUAACGUCCGUCGUGAAGAGGGAAACAACCCAGACCGCCAGCUAAGGUCCCAAAGUCAUGGUUAAGUGGGAAACGAUGUGGGAAGGCCCAGACAGCCAGGAUGUUGGCUUAGAAGCAGCCAUCAUUUAAAGAAAGCGUAAUAGCUCACUGGUCGAGUCGGCCUGCGCGGAAGAUGUAACGGGGCUAAACCAUGCACCGAAGCUGCGGCAGCGACGCUUAUGCGUUGUUGGGUAGGGGAGCGUUCUGUAAGCCUGUGAAGGUGUGCUGUGAGGUAUGCUGGAGGUAUCAGAAGUGCGAAUGCUGACAUAAGUAACGAUAAAGCGGGUGAAAAGCCCGCUCGCCGGAAGACCAAGGGUUCCUGUCCAACGUUAAUCGGGGCAGGGUGAGUCGACCCCUAAGGCGAGGCCGAAAGGCGUAGUCGAUGGGAAACAGGUUAAUAUUCCUGUACUUGGUGUUACUGCGAAGGGGGGACGGAGAAGGCUAUGUUGGCCGGGCGACGGUUGUCCCGGUUUAAGCGUGUAGGCUGGUUUUCCAGGCAAAUCCGGAAAAUCAAGGCCGAGGCGUGAUGACGAGGCACUACGGUGCUGAAGCAACAAAUGCCCUGCUUCCAGGAAAAGCCUCUAAGCAUCAGGUAACAUCAAAUCGUACCCCAAACCGACACAGGUGGUCAGGUAGAGAAUACCAAGGCGCUUGAGAGAACUCGGGUGAAGGAACUAGGCAAAAUGGUGCCGUAACUUCGGGAGAAGGCACGCUGAUACGUAGGUGAAGCGACUUGCUCGUGGAGCUGAAAUCAGUCGAAGAUACCAGCUGGCUGCAACUGUUUAUUAAAAACACAGCACUGUGCAAACACGAAAGUGGACGUAUACGGUGUGACGCCUGCCCGGUGCCGGAAGGUUAAUUGAUGGGGUUAGCGCAAGCGAAGCUCUUGAUCGAAGCCCCGGUAAACGGCGGCCGUAACUAUAACGGUCCUAAGGUAGCGAAAUUCCUUGUCGGGUAAGUUCCGACCUGCACGAAUGGCGUAAUGAUGGCCAGGCUGUCUCCACCCGAGACUCAGUGAAAUUGAACUCGCUGUGAAGAUGCAGUGUACCCGCGGCAAGACGGAAAGACCCCGUGAACCUUUACUAUAGCUUGACACUGAACAUUGAGCCUUGAUGUGUAGGAUAGGUGGGAGGCUUUGAAGUGUGGACGCCAGUCUGCAUGGAGCCGACCUUGAAAUACCACCCUUUAAUGUUUGAUGUUC
Molecule: ribosomal RNA, 2205 nt
Filed under: Shigella flexneri
Lineage: Bacteria; Pseudomonadati; Pseudomonadota; Gammaproteobacteria; Enterobacterales; Enterobacteriaceae
Description: partial 23S ribosomal RNA
Rfam family: Bacterial large subunit ribosomal RNA
Source: RNAcentral